RNAcentral lists this ribosomal RNA (397 nucleotides) under uncultured bacterium. RNAcentral's name for it is "bacterial SSU rRNA". It matches the Rfam family "Bacterial small subunit ribosomal RNA", at positions 358 to 772 of the family's 1533-position model. The record is from RNAcentral.
GGAAUAUUGGACAAUGGGCGAAAGCCUGAUCCAGCAAUGCCGCGUGAGUGAUGAAGGCCUUAGGGUUGUAAAGCUCUUUUACCAGGGAUGAUAAUGACAGUACCUGGAGAAUAAGCUCCGGCUAACUCCGUGCCAGCAGCCGCGGUAAUACGGAGGGAGCUAGCGUUAUCCGGAAUUACUGGGUUUAAAGGGUGCGUAGGCGGCUUUGUAAGUCAGGAGUGAAAGUUUGCGGCUCAACCGUAAAAUUGCUUUUGAUACUGCAAGGCUAGAAUCAGGAUGAGGUCAGCGGAAUGUGGCAUGUAGCGGUGAAAUGCAUAGAUAUGCCAUAGAACACCAAUUGCGAAGGCAGCUGGCUAGACCUGUAUUGACGCUGAGGCACGAAAGCGUGGGGAGCGAA